GCCGGCGCCGGGUGCACGCGCCCCCUGAGUUGGGGAGGGGGUGGGAGCCGCGCAUUAGAGCCUGGGUUUCUGGUCUGGGGUGCCGUGGAGCUCGCGCCUGCGGCCUCCUGGAUCUCCCCAGCCCUGGAGCCCUGGGGAGGGGUCACCCGGGCUGGGGCGUGGGCCUCCAAGGAGCCCUGGAGGGACUGUGCUACUGGGGCGCGGGGCCUCGUGGGGUGAGUGGGAGACCCGCGGGGAUCCGGAUCCGGAGCCGCAGCCCCUGCGCCGCCCGCGCCUGGCCCCCUCUGUGAGGGUUUAUUACAGGUCUGGUUUCGGGAGCCAAGGGCGUUCCCGCCGCCACCGCACACCGCAGCUUCCAGGCAGCUCCGCGCUCCAGAGGGCACCAGCACUGGCCGACUGGCCUGGGGCGCGGCGCUGGCAAGCCUGGCCUUCUGAGGGGACCCACGCUGCUCUAGUGCAGGCAGCCCCCAAAACAGUAUAACGGGACGAAAUCCUGGAAGGAUGCCAGUUACCAAAAAAGAACAUAGGAACGCUCAUUAUCUGUUCAAUUAAAUUUGAGAUCAAUUUGUAAUCAAGUGUCCUCAAUUUUCCACAGAAAAUUCCAGGCCCAGAGGACCAAGCUGGUGGUUGGUACUUAGAAAAGCAAUGAUAGGCAUGCGGAUGAGGAGGGGCCGCUUAGCCCUGCCUGGUGUGUGAGGCCAGCGUUGCCCUGAAGGCAAAGUCAGCCAUCACCAGACAAUAGAACCAGAGACCAGUGUCUUUCGUGCAUCUAGACACAGAGCAUUUCAGAAAACUAGCAAAAGGAAUCUGUCCGCCUGUUGCCUAAAAAAGCCAAACUUUGGAAAAUACUUGAAGAGAUUCAUUCUGAGCCAAAUGGGAGGACCAGGACCCGUGACACAGCCUCAGGAGGUCCUGAGAACUUGCACCCAAGGUGGCUGGGUUGCUCGGUUUUGUACAUUUCGGGAGACAUAGGCAUCGGUCAGCGCAUGUGAGGUGUGCAUUGGUUUGGCCCAGAAACAGGACAGCUCCAAGCGGAAAGGCGUCCAGGUCACAGGGAGAUUCAAAGGUUUUUCUGAUUGGCAAUUGGUUGAAAGAAUUAUGGUCUAAAGGCCUGGAAUCCAUAGAGAAGAGUGUCUGGGUUAAGAUAAGGGGCUGUGGAGACCAGGGUUCUUAAUGUGUAGAUGACGCUUCAUAGGUGUUCACCUUAGAGGCAACACAUGGCAAAUGUUUCCUAUUCAGCUGGCCAGUGUGGUGAAACCCAGUCGUCUCUACUAGCAAUACAAAAACAAAACAAAACGACACUGGACUCUCAGCCAGUCUCUUCAGAAUCAGAAAAAGAGCUGGAAAAAGAAGGGGAGUGUCUACAAGAUGUGAAUUUCUCCACAGGAGACAGCUUUGCGGGGCUAUUUCUAAAUUUGUCAAAGAGAUCUAUUUUGGGUAAAAUACACUGCUCCUUUCAGGGCCUGCUGUCACAUGAUGCUGUACCAGAGUCAGAUUGGAACUUGGCGUCUUAUUACUACAGAGUCUGCUCUGUCAGUCUUAUGACCUGUUUUAAUGCCAGUGCUGGUCAGCUGCACCUGAACUCCAAAGGGAGGAAUCUGACGUGAAGAUGGUAGCCAGCCUGACACAAAGGAAGGAACCCGAAUGGCCGAUAGGAAGGGAAGUAAACAUGACAAUCUCAGUGGGAUGCCCUUGUCACCACUGGACACCAAGUGUUGAUGGGUGAGUGGAGUGGCCGGAACCCUCAGACACAGUUGAUGGGAGCUGUGCCCUUUGGAAAUCAUUUCACAGUUUGUGCUCCAUCCUGGCUGAACCCAUAGCUGGAGUCAUUCCGAAAGCAGUGACUAGAAUAUCCACCAGGGAGUGCCUCAAACCCCCUGAGAUGGGCUGGGUGGCAUUCCAGAGAAAGAGGCCCCGUCGCCAGGGUGAUCCGUCCAGAGCACUUAGUAGGAUCUUGCAUAAGGAGAGCCUGCAGUGUAUCCUCAGGACAGAUAGGACAGAUGGCUGACCCCGCCAUUCCCUCCUGCCUUUACCUGAACAUACCUUCUUAUAUACCCAUGAGUCCUGGACUCGUGCAGCCCUCCCCGCAGGGGACCUGCAGCUGCUGCAGACAUGCCUCUGCAGCCACGCCCAGGCCACACCUCUAUACAGCACUCCCCACAGGGGACCCACAGCUGCUGCAUCCACGCCUCUGCAGCCCUCUGCUGCAACACUGCAGCCACGCCCAGGCCAUGCCUCUAUUAACUGUCUGCUGCAGCCACGCCCAGGCCACACCUCUAUGCAGCACUCCCCACAGGGGACCCACAACUGCUGCAUCCACGCCUCUGCAGCCCUCUGCUGCAACAUUGCAGCCACGCCUAGGCCAUGCCUCUAUUUAGCUGUCUGCUGCAGCCACGCCCAGGCCACACCUCUAUGCAGCACUCCCCACAGGGGACCCACAGCUGCUGCAUCCAUGCCUCUGCAGCCCUCUGCUGCAACAUUGCAGCCACGCCUAGGCCGCCACCUCCGAAGACGGGUGGUGCUGCUUUUGUGAACAGACACUUCUUUCAGAUGUCCGUGAUCGAUGCUUAGGAGGUGAGCGCCCAAGCGGAAGCCGACCCUCUAUGAAGGGGCCGCAGAACACCCGACCCAGAAAUCAGUGGACCAGCCAAGGCCACCGGGGAACUGAGUGGGCACACCCCUGCCCCGGGCUCCUCGGGACAGGCCAGCCCUGACCCCACUGGCUCUAUCGCAAGGACUCACGGUGGCGCUGUGCUGGACUCGGUGGCCUUAGCUGGAGCCCACAGACCCAGGUCCUACGGGUAGUUCUGUGCUCACGACCUAGAGGCCAGAGCCCACACUGUCUCCAGCAGGCCCAACUCACUUCUCCACGUCAAAGGCUUGGCCUUGCUCCAGGCCCGGGGACUAUCCCCCACCCAGUGUUUCUUCCUGGGUGACAGUGGUGGAAGAGCAGGCAAGCCACAUGCUGGAUGCCACAGCGGGGAGACUCCAGGCUGGCACCCCUCUGCCUCUGUGAGCUCUGGCCUUUCUCCUCCCUGCCUGGGCUGCUUCCUUCAGGUUGGGGAGGCUUUUUUUGACCCCUGGAUUGAGGUUCUCAUCAGGAAUGACCCGGAAGAGGUUUUAUGGGUCUUUCAAGAAAGUCUGUGUCUGAGUCUCAGAAAGUGGCUCUGUUCCCUGCACAGCACAGUCUCUUCUGUGACCAGCAGCUCACAGAAGAGAGGGGCUCUCGGGCCCACAGGCCAUUGCCCUGAGGCUGCCACGAGAGGGCAGGAGAGCCCUUCCCCAGAGCUCCAUGCCAGGGGACAGGAGAAUCGCAGCUCUGACAAGCUCUGCAUCCAUGUGUCCAGCAGGGAAAGGAGAGGCUCCAACACGUGAGAGAAGAGCAGACUGGGCGGCCCCUGCUGAAGCCUCCCAUCGCCUGUGACCUCUGAGGGCAGGCCCUGGGUCCCUGCAGCCCCUGCCAAAGACUCCCGUUGCCUGCGACCCCCGAGGGCAGGCCCUGGGCCCCUGUGGCCCCUGCCGAAGCCUCUCCCGGCCCCUGUGACCCCCGAGGGCAGGCCCUGGGCCUCUGCAGCCCCUGCUGGAGCUCCUCCCCAACUACCAACCUGCUCCCAGCUCACUCAGCUCCCUGCAAAACCUCACCUGAGGGGAAGGAGGCUGUUUGGGCUCAGAUGCAGCAGGUGCAGCUUGUGGUCCUGGGGCCACACCUGUGAGAGCCCAUCAUUCCCCCCCUGCUGGGCCCUGAGUAUCUGUCCCUACAGAAUUCAGAAGGGUCAGCUCUGGGCACUCCAGGCCCCAGCCCCAUGAGUGAGCCCUGGGCCCAAGGUGGAUGUGGGCCACAGGCCCCCAGUCAAAACACCCACAGCGGGUGGACAGGUGCACUGAAUGUGGGUCCCCUCCCGAGAGACAUGCAGAUGGGGAGGGGCCUGUCAGAUCUCAGCAUGGCUGGAACUUACACCCAUCACUACCUCCCAGCCUCCCUGCCCGACAGGGGUGGCCCUGGGAGCCCAGUCAGCAGUGAACAGCAGAGAAGGGCAGUUGGGGAUGUCACCAUUGCCCCCAAGACUCCCCUGCCAUGGAGAUGAGGGAGCUGUCCCUUGGCAGAGGGAGGCUGGCCAGUGGGAGUGGACAGAGAAUGGACCCAGCAGCCGAGGACCCCUGAGCUCAGGACCCAAGGAGGGCUCUUCUAGGAGCAGGGACGAGAGCAAACGCCAGGGACCCCGUGCAGGCCUGCUUGUCCGUUGCAAAGCGAGUGAGCAGGUUCACAUGUCAGGAGCUUCCCGACUCAUGGGUUCCCUCCCUGCACAACACAGUUCCCCAGUAACCAAAGCCUGGCCUUUGUGCCUGGAAGUGCACAGGGAGGUCACAGCGCUGUGAGUCAGUGGCAGGGCAAGGAGUCUGCUUUUCCAGGGCCAGAGGCCACACUCAGAGGACUUCGUAACAGGAGCUUGGGGCCCUCGAGUCAACACUUUCCCACGGACAGCCUGGCCAGCUCCGUGGACGGAGGAGGCGUCCGAGGGUCCCAGGCCACCAAGUGACCAAGCAGCGAAGGUGCCCGGGAUUUCCUAGGGGUGCGCUGAUCCCAAGGCAGCCACCUGUGGUCACUGUACAGGGCACCUGCGCCUCAGGAGACCGGCAGCAUGGCAGGGCCUGCCUCCCAGGAGAGACUGGCCAGUGCCUGCAGGGGCCUGGGGGGUCACAGUGAGGGCUCUGCUGGCCCACCUGCCCUGAAGCAGAACCCAAACCUUCUGCCUUGGGGAGCACCUGGGCGCCCGCCUCCUGUCCAGCCCUGGACACAUCCCAGCGGCUACAUGUGGGGGAGAUACAGCCUGGGCUCAGGGCCAGGUACCACCCUGCGGGGAUGCCAGACCUGGGGGAGACCAUGCCUGCUCAGAAUUCCCCCCACACCUGGGCUUCUCCAUCCUGACCCCUUGGGAGGGGAGGGCCUGUCCUUCCUCAGCAUUGCGUGGCGGGUGGGAGGCUGGAGGCAAGGCCUGUGGUGUGAAGCUUCCCCAGCAUGGGUCUCUGGGAGAGAAAGCCCCGUGUCUCAGGGAAUGAAAACAGAGAUUGCGCCACUCACACGCAUUCGGUGGCUCAGAAAAGCAUUCACAAAUGUUCUGAGCAUUCGGCUUUGGGGGCAGCAUUCCCUCCAAGAGGAGCUUCAUAAACAUCCGCUCCCCGUGGGGUCGCCUCUCCGUGGCCUGGGGCCGCUGUUGGAGGCAGGGUCUCCAGCUGCCACCAGGCAGGAAAUGUGGGGGGUGAGCGGGGGUCACGGCUGGGGACCACUGGGGACUGUGAGAAUCUGUCCCACAGGACUUUCUGGGAUUGAAAAGCUGGCAGAGGUAAAAAGUGCGUCAUGCCCUGUGCUGGACCCGGCUGCUUAUUUAUGUUUGGAGGGGCAGCCUCCAAGGGCUCCUCUUCUCCCUCUCCAGUGAUGGCGUCAGUGGAAAAGCAGACGGGGCGGGGCGGGGUGCAGGGCUCUCCUCCCUGGAAUGAAGCAUAUCCGGAGGUUUUCCUGAUUCCCGAGCAGGCCCUGACCGCCGGGUUCACGGUGGCAAAUCCAUGACUGCUGAGCCUGGCCCUGAGCCUCAGCAUGAACGUCGCAAAGCCCUGGCCCGGGCGGUGUCUGUUUCAUCCCUCCAGAGGGAAGGCAUCAAGUGCAAGUGUGAGGUUUAGAGACUAAAAGGAGAAGGGCCAGAAGUCUUGAAAACGACCUUCCCCACCUUGUUCACUCAUUCCAGGAAUUUGCGAGGGCCUGUGUGUCCUGCGCUUGGUGGGGCCUGGGACGCAGAUGUGAAGGGCGCUGCUCUCAGGAGCAGACGGAGGCGUAGACGAAUCACUACCAUCCACCUCAGGUGCACAGAGGGCCCUGUGGGGAGCCGUGGGUGCAGGGAGGGGACCCCCUGCGUCAUGCUGAUGGAGUCGGCAGAGUCUCCAGCUUCUGCAGGAGCGGAGCCUGGGGUUCCUCUGUCCUGCGGGGGCGGAGCCUGGGGGUUCCUCUGUCCUGCGGGGGCGGAGCCUGGGGGGUUCCUCUGUCCUGUGGGGGCGGAGCCUGGAGUUCCUGUGUCCUGCGGGGGCGGAGCCUGGGGGGGUUCCUCUGUCCUGCGGGGGCGGAGCCUGGGGGGUUCCUCUGUCCUGCGGGGGCGGAGCCUGGGGUUCCUCUGUCCUGCGGGGGCGGAGCCUGGGGUUCCUCUGUCCUGCGGGGGCGGAGCCUGGGGUUCCUCUGUCCUGCGGGGGCGGAGCCUGGGGUUCCUCUGUCCUGCGGGAGCCGAGCCUGGGGUUCCUCUGUCCUGCGGGAGCCGAGCCUGGGGUUCCUCUCUGUAAAUUGCUUAACCAGAUCUUUUGCCCGAUAGUUUUCCUGUUGGGACACCUCGGUAGUUUGAAAGCGGUUUCUUGCACCCCUUGCUGGUCUCUUAGCCUUGUAGAUGGUGUUCUAUUUUAAAUUCUGGAUAUAUUUAAUGUGAAAAAUAGUUACGAAGUGAGCGCCAUGAGUCCCUGUGUACCUGUCACCCAGCCCAAGCACCAGGGGCACUGGGGGACUGGCCACACCCCCCCUUUCUUAGGACUCCUGAGUCUCUGGCGUUACUUAAAGGGUGUUUCUUGCAGCAAGACAGUUGAAACAAACUUUGAUGUCUCUUCCGUCUUUCUGCGGCUGUGGCUUCUAACAUUCUAAUAGUGUUCUCAUCAGCCGGGCUGAGAACAAAAGAGCGCAGACUGGGGCUGAAGCAACAGAACCGUCCUUCCCGCAGUUCUGGAGUGAGGAGUCUUGGCUCACGGUGUCACACGCUCGGGUUCCUGGCUAACCAGACCGCCUUCCCAAGAACCCUGCACUUGGGAACUGUGUCGCUGGGGGUCACAGGAAUGCUGGGGACACGUCACCAGUCACUCCAUCGCACGUUGUGAGCUCUUUAAUCCACUGGAAUUUUGUUUGUGGUUGUGUGAGAUACGGCUCUCACAUUUUCUGUUGCAAAUACGUAGCCAGUUGUCAGAUGAUUUACUGAAAAAAGAAUCUUUUCUCCACUGACCGACAUGAAAUGCCACCAUCACCGUAAACGUCCCUGUAAAUACUGGGCACUGUCUCUGUUCCUCAGUCCUGACUGGCGGACUCGCUUCUGUUUCUCUGCAGGAACUCAGGCUCACGGUGACAGCUUUACGGCAGGCUCCCUCCCCAGGCCUCUCGAAAGCAUUCCUCUGCCGGUCUGCUCGGCUCUUCUCCCACGUCAAGUUUACAGGCGGUGUCAAGGCCCACGGCAGUCCCGUGGGAGUUUUAAGGGAUUCAUGUAGUUCACGGGACAGUUUGGAAGAUUGUCAUUCAUGUGACUUAGAGUCCAACUUGAAAAUGGAUUCAGGCCGGGCGCGGUGGCUCACGCCUGUAAUCCCAGCACUUUGGGAGGCCGAGGAGGGUGGAUCACGAGGUCAAGAGAUCGAGACCAUCCUGGUCAACAUGGUGAAACCCCGUCUCUACUAAAAAUACAAAAAACUAGCUGGGCAUGGUGGCACGUGCCUGUAAUCCCAGCUACUCAGGAGGCUGAGGCAGAAUUGCCUGAACCCAGGAGGCGGAGGUUGCGGUGAGCGGAGAUUGCGCCAUUGCACUCCAGCCUGAGUAACGAGCAGAACUCUGUCUCAAAAAAAAAAAAAGAAAGAAAAUGGAUUCUAGCUCUCAACUAAUUUAGAACUUUGGCAAAGUGUUUUAGAUUUCUUUGACGGCAGAGGCCCUCGUUUCUUGGUUUGUGGUUAAAUAUUUUAUGAAAUCCAUGACGUUUUUGUGACAAUGAGUGGGACACUUUCCCAUGAAAUGCAAUUCUGUGUUGCUGUUUUAAUAAACACUGUUGACUGAUGUGUAUGAUGUUA
Molecule: non-coding RNA, 7851 nt
Organism: Callithrix jacchus (white-tufted-ear marmoset)
Lineage: Eukaryota; Metazoa; Chordata; Mammalia; Primates; Cebidae
Source: RefSeq, a predicted model, not a curated record